CUUUAGUUUGAAACCCCGAAACCAGGUGAGCUACCCCGAGACAGCCUAUACAAAUUAGGGCUAACCCGUCUCUGUGGCAAAAGAGUGGGAAGAGCUCCGGGUAGAAGUGACAGACCUACCGAACCUGGUGAUAGCUGGUUGCCUGAGAAAUGGAUAGAAGUUCAGCCCCGCACACCCCAGACCAAAACCCUACACUUAAGGUAAUUUAAGGGUAAUAUGUGGGAGUUAGUUAAAGGGGGUACAGCCCCUCUAACAAAGGAUACAACCUUACCAGGAGGAUAAAGAUCAUAAUACUUAAAACAAACUGUUUUAGUGGGCCUAAAAGCAGCCAUCUAAAUAGAAAGCGUUAAAGCUCAAACAGAAUAAAGUUUAUUAUAACGAUAAAAAAUCUUAUUCCCCUAAAAAUAUCAGGCUAUCCCAUGCUUGCAUGGAAGAAAUUAUGCUAAAAUGAGUAACAAGAAGACCUGCUCUUCUCCAAGCACAAGUGUAACCCAGAUCGGACAAACCACUGGGAAAUAACGAACUCAACUCAAGAGAGUACUGUGAACAACAUAAAAACCAAGAAAAACUCACAACAAUAUAAUCGUUGACCCCACACUGGAGUGCUAUUUAUAAAGGAAAGACUAAAAGAAAGGGAAGGAACUCGGCAAACGCAAGCCUCGCCUGUUUACCAAAAACAUCGCCUCCUGCAACUGGAUUAAGUAUAGGAGGUCCAGCCUGCCCAGUGACUACGGGUUCAACGGCCGCGGUAUUUUGACCGUGCAAAGGUAGCGCAAUCACUUGUCUUUUAAAUAGAGACCUGUAUGAAUGGCUAAACGAGGGCUUAACUGUCUCCCCCUUCCAGUCAGUGAAAUUGAUCUAUCCGUGCAGAAGCGGGUAUAAUACUACAAGACGAGAAGACCCUUUGGAGCUUAAGGUACAAAAUUUAACCACGUUAAACAACUCAACAAAAAGCAAGAACUUAGUGGGCUAUAAAAUUUUACCUUCGGUUGGGGCGACCGCGGAGGAAAAAUUAACCUCCGAGUGGACUGGGCUUUACCCCUAAAACCAAGAGAGACAUCUCUAAGCCACAGAACAUCUGACCAAUAAUGAUCCGGCCUUGUGGCCGACCAACGGACCAAGUUACCCUAGGGAUAACAGCGCAAUCCUCUCCCAGAGUCCAUAUCGACGAGGGGGUUUACGACCUCGAUGUUGGAUCAGGACAUCCUAAUGGUGCAGCCG
Molecule: ribosomal RNA, 1221 nt
Filed under: Biwia zezera
Lineage: Eukaryota; Metazoa; Chordata; Actinopteri; Cypriniformes; Gobionidae
Description: partial 16S ribosomal RNA
Rfam family: Bacterial large subunit ribosomal RNA
Source: RNAcentral